AUGAUGUAUAAUUGGUCCACUUUAAAGCAUAACUCCAUUUUUCUGACCAAUGUGAUAACAUAAGGCAGGAGAAUGAAAUGUUGAACUUGGUAAAAAUUAAGUUUGACCUAUCUUCUUUGCUCAUGCUUGAGCAGGCCCAUAAAGGUUCAAUUGAACCCAGUAGCAAAUGUUCCCAUUUUUUUUUUGGGCCUA
Nanorana parkeri is the source of this 192-nucleotide long non-coding RNA. RefSeq lists it as uncharacterized. The transcript has 3 exons. The record is from RefSeq and is a predicted model, not a curated record. NCBI's taxonomy places the organism in Eukaryota, Metazoa, Chordata, Amphibia, Anura, Dicroglossidae.